AAUAUUAAUUUAUUGGCAAGUUGAUUCAUUGACUUUUAAUCAUCUAAGCUUAGUCUACGCCAUGGAAUUAAUGGGGUGUAAAUGAUCAACGAAAACGCUCAAAUAAGCGAAAAAUCAACAUUCAAUUGCUACGACAACGUGAACAAAUCGCUGUCACAGACACAACAUAAACGAGCAUAGCAAUCAACUAGAAAAUUUUGAAUUUCUCAAUCAUUUUAAUCCCAUCAUUGUCAAUCGUCGUAGGAUUCUAGAAGAGGCUGUAAAAUGGAAGAACUCGGACAAGAAGAAUGGUCUUGCGGCUAACGCUUCUAUGGCUAAAUCCAUUUUUUGUAGUCGAAAAGUUUGGGUUUUUUGGUUGAAUAGCCCGUCAGCCAGUCCACCUCGCAGAGCCUCUCCAUGUGCCUCCUGAUGAUGUGCGUCUUGAGGUUGUGCCUCCGCUUGAAGCGCGACGUGCAAAAGUUGCAAUUGUGCGCCUUCUCCUUGCCGCAGUCCUGGUGCAAAUGGGCCAACAUUGUCCUGGCGUUUUUGUACAGUUUCUGGCACUUCGGGCAGCGGACGGCGCCAACUGAAACCACACCAAACGGUUUUAUUGCAGUUUUUGCAUGAGUAUGGGGCUGAAAUUGGGAAAAAUAGUUAAUUGGCAACUGGAGGAUUGAAGUGAGAAACUCCUGAACGGGUCAGUAGUAUGUAAGAAAACGGACCCAAUAAAGAUUAGUAAGAUAUAUUUGAAAAUACAAUUAAAAGCAUACUUAAUGAGAUGUAUAUUUAUAACAAUAUUAAAUGCGAUUUAAAAGACAAA
Molecule: long non-coding RNA, 799 nt
Organism: Dendroctonus ponderosae (mountain pine beetle)
Lineage: Eukaryota; Metazoa; Arthropoda; Insecta; Coleoptera; Curculionidae
Exons: 2
Source: RefSeq, a predicted model, not a curated record